Molecule: ribosomal RNA, 55 nt
Filed under: uncultured Malassezia
Lineage: Eukaryota; Fungi; Basidiomycota; Malasseziomycetes; Malasseziales; Malasseziaceae
Description: partial 5.8S ribosomal RNA
Rfam family: 5.8S ribosomal RNA
About the family: 5.8S ribosomal RNA (5.8S rRNA) is a component of the large subunit of the eukaryotic ribosome. It is transcribed by RNA polymerase I as part of the 45S precursor that also contains 18S and 28S rRNA.
Source: RNAcentral
UACACAACUUUCGGCAACGGAUCUCUUGGUUCUCGCAUCGAUGAAGAAGGCAGCA